AAAUUUAGAAAUCGUUAAAAGAAAAAACCCCCCAAAAUUUGCUCAAUUUAAUGAUUGGGGUCGUUUCUGGAUUAUUUGGUGCAAUUGAACUGUUACCCAUGGUUGUAUGAUGCUGCUGGAGACUCUAUUAGGACCAAUUUUGUGAUUCAAUGAUGUGGGGAUGAGGAAUUGAAGGAGGCAGAUCUGCUUCCGUUCGAUGCGCCUAUGCGUGGAUUGCUUGGUUCAAUUCAGCCUUGUUGGUUCGAAAUUGGCAGUGACCCAUACGUCCAUUGGAUGCGCCAUGAAGAGACGGUUCUAGCGGUGGUGGUCCGCCACCGUGGGUAGUGUUUCCGGCGCCAAAAAUUGGAGUUGAAUGGUCCGAGUUUGCUGUUCGUUUUUGGUUGUGUGGGUAGCUUCUUUGACUGGAAAUUUCAAGCAAAUCUGAUGGAGUUUCGGUCAUUGGUUGGGUGGGUUGGAACGAGAGAAGUGAGGGUUUCAAGGUAGUAUGUUAGUCUACAGCCAAGGUGGUCGGAGGUUGGAGUUGUGGUGGCUAGAAGUGGUGUGCUGUUCGUUUUUUGUUGUGUGGGCAGCUUCUUUGACUGGAUAUUUGCAGGCAGAUCUGAUGGAGUUUUGGCCAUUGGUUGGGUGGGUUGGAACGAAUGAAGUGAGGGCUUCAAGGUGGUAUGUUGGUCGACGGUCAAGGUGGUCGGAGGUUGGAGUUGUGGUGGCCAGAAGUGGUGGCUCAAAAUCCUCAAAAUUCACCUUCUUCCUGGAAAUUUCAAGCAGUUUAUGCGAGAAAAUUAGCUCGAUUUUGCUGUGAUUUGGGGCUGUUGUUUGUGUAGGGAUGUUAGGGGUUGAUGAGGAGAUGGUGGUGGCGCAAAAAUCCGGUGGCUGUGGUGGUCGGAAGUUGGCUUCCAUGGUUGCGCCGAAAUUUUGUGCUUGAGGUCCUCAAUAUUGUAUGGUCACGUGUUUUCGAUCCUUAAGUUUGAAUUAGAAUCAGAAAGGUCCUGAUCGUGACCAUUUGUGCAAGUUUUUAAAUUUAAGUGACCAUUAGUGAAACCACCUGGAACUUAAGUGACCGUUUUUGAAAGUUUUAAACUUCAGUGAUCGUUUUGUAAUUUUUUGGUAACUUCAGUGACCGUUUGUGAAAUUAACCCGUUUAUAAACAGUUAAUAUACAUGAAUCAAACAG
RNAcentral lists this long non-coding RNA (1170 nucleotides) under Olea europaea subsp. europaea. The record is from RNAcentral. Lineage: Eukaryota; Viridiplantae; Streptophyta; Magnoliopsida; Lamiales; Oleaceae.